RNAcentral lists this non-coding RNA (45 nucleotides) under Schistosoma haematobium. The record is from RNAcentral. Lineage: Eukaryota; Metazoa; Platyhelminthes; Trematoda; Strigeidida; Schistosomatidae.
AUUCAGAUGACGAGUCCCAAGUAGAACGAAACGCGCAUCCUGGAU